This 147-nucleotide unclassified non-coding RNA is filed under the name uncultured Friedmanniomyces. RNAcentral describes it as "sequence contains ITS2". The record is from RNAcentral. Lineage: Eukaryota; Fungi; Ascomycota; Dothideomycetes; Mycosphaerellales; Teratosphaeriaceae.
CACCAGUCCAGCCUCGCUGGGUCUUGGGCGCCGCGGCCUGCCGCGCGCCCCAAUGUCUCCGGCUGAGCCGUCCGUCUCGAAGCGUUGUGGCAACCCAAAUCGCUUACGGGAUCGGAGGACUUGACGCCGUCCUAACACACCACACCA